Molecule: long non-coding RNA, 476 nt
Organism: Labrus mixtus (cuckoo wrasse)
Lineage: Eukaryota; Metazoa; Chordata; Actinopteri; Labriformes; Labridae
Exons: 3
Source: RefSeq, a predicted model, not a curated record
CACUGUCGCUGCAACAACAACCACAGCAGUUCCAACAAUGAUAGCUAGUCCAAUAACCCCUACACCUGCUCCUUCAGUCAUAGGUGUACAAACAACCAACACAGUUGGUCCAACAACCAGCACAGCUGCUGUACCUGUUUAUAUGCUUAAAGUUAUGUUGGUAAAUGAAACUUUUACAGAUGCGCUGAAUGACCCCAGCACCCCUCAAUACCAAGAUCUUGAAAGACGACUUGUAGCAAGAUGUGAAGCCAUAUACCGAAGAGAAUUUGGUGAUCUCUUUGUGAAAUGCUCUGUGAUAGGUUUCAGAUCUGUUGCAACACGAGCUGACAGAGUUGAAGCACAUCUUGCAAUUACUUUUAACCAAACUACUCCAGCUGCAGACCUCCCACAGAAUAGUGCUGUUGCUCAAACUCUUGUUCAAGCUGCAAAUGAUAACAAUAAUGUUGACGUGAGCUUUAGUCCCAAUGAAAUUUCAG